UCGCCCUGUGCGGGAGAGCGUCGGCGCGUCUGCGGAGACACCCCGGACGUCAGCCGGCCGCCGAAGGAGCAAGACCUCCCCGGGAAUCUCUCAGGCACCCGUACCGCGCAGGGGAA
RNAcentral lists this non-coding RNA (116 nucleotides) under Micrococcus sp. Its description in RNAcentral is "Glycine sequence". It matches the Rfam family "Glycine riboswitch aptamer". Rfam says of the family: This family represents the bacterial glycine riboswitch. Glycine riboswitches usually consist of two metabolite-binding aptamers domains with similar structures in tandem. The record is from RNAcentral. Lineage: Bacteria; Bacillati; Actinomycetota; Actinomycetes; Micrococcales; Micrococcaceae. RNAcentral also lists the same sequence under 1 other name.